AGUGAACGCUGGCGGUAGGCCUAACACAUGCAAGUCGAACGGCAGCACAGUAAGAGCUUGCUCUUACGGGUGGCGAGUGGCGGACGGGUGAGGAAUACAUCGGAAUCUACUUUUUCGUGGGGGAUAACGUAGGGAAACUUACGCUAAUACCGCAUACGAUCUACGGGUGAAAGCAGGGGAUCUUCGCACCUUGCGCGAUUGAAUGAGCCGAUGUCGGAUUAGCUAGUUGGCGGGGUAAAGGCCCACCAAGGCGACGAUCCGUAGCUGGUCUGAGAGGAUGAUCAGCCACACUGGAACUGAGACACGGUCCAGACUCCUACGGGAGGCAGCAGUGGGGAAUAUUGGACAAUGGGCGCAAGCCUGAUCCAGCCAUACCGCGUGGGUGAAGAAGGCCUUCGGGUUGUAAAGCCCUUUUGUUGGGAAAGAAAAGCAGCAGGUUAAUACCCCGCUGUUCUGACGGUACCCAAAGAAUAAGCACCGGCUAACUUCGUG
This 492-nucleotide ribosomal RNA is filed under the name uncultured bacterium. Its description in RNAcentral is "partial 16S ribosomal RNA". It matches the Rfam family "Bacterial small subunit ribosomal RNA", at positions 29 to 507 of the family's 1533-position model. The record is from RNAcentral.